This 491-nucleotide ribosomal RNA is filed under the name uncultured bacterium. Its description in RNAcentral is "partial 16S ribosomal RNA". It matches the Rfam family "Bacterial small subunit ribosomal RNA", at positions 30 to 507 of the family's 1533-position model. The record is from RNAcentral.
AGUGAACGCUGGCGGUAGGCCUAACACAUGCAAGUCGAACGGCAGCACAGUAAGAGCUUGCUCUACGGGUGGGGAGGGGGGGAAGGGUGAGGAAAAAAAUGGAAUCCAACUUUUCGGGGGGGAUAAAGGAGGGAAAAGUACGGCAAUAACGGAAUAGACCUAAGGGGGAAAGGAGGGGGUUCUCGGACCUUUGGCGGAUGAAUGAGGCGAUGUCGGAUUAGCUAGUUGGCGGGGGAAAGGCCCACCAAGGCGACGAUCCGUAGCUGGUCUGAGAGGAUGAUCAGCCACACUGGAACUGAGACACGGUCCAGACUCCUACGGGAGGCAGCAGUGGGGAAUAUUGGACAAUGGGCGCAAGCCUGAUCCAGCCAUACCGCGUGGGUGAAGAAGGCCUUCGGGUUGUAAAGCCCUUUUGUUGGGAAAGAAAAGCAGCAGGUUAAUACCCCGCUGUUCUGACGGUACCCAAAGAAUAAGCACCGGCUAACUUCGUG